Streptomycetaceae bacterium MP113-05 is the source of this 74-nucleotide regulatory RNA element. It matches the Rfam family "Actino-pnp RNA". Lineage: Bacteria; Bacillati; Actinomycetota; Actinomycetes; Kitasatosporales; Streptomycetaceae. The record is from Rfam.
GCCGGUCCUCGGUAGUGGCCCCCGGACACAGCGCACAGCGCACACGGUUCCGGGUGCUUCGAUCGAAGACCGGC